Molecule: non-coding RNA, 90 nt
Filed under: Shewanella sp.
Lineage: Bacteria; Pseudomonadati; Pseudomonadota; Gammaproteobacteria; Alteromonadales; Shewanellaceae
Also listed under: 1 other name
Description: c-di-GMP sequence
Rfam family: c-di-GMP-I riboswitch aptamer
About the family: GEMM was predicted in a large-scale screen for bacterial structured RNA regulatory elements. Genes associated with GEMM are involved in a diverse array of functions, including chemotaxis regulation, signal transduction, secretion and chitin.
Source: RNAcentral
AAAAUUAACUAGCAAACCAAGCGAAAGCUUGGGACGCAAAACCUCCGGUCUAAGUCUUUCAAUGAUAGAUACGAUAGCGGGGUUACAUUA